RNAcentral lists this ribosomal RNA (230 nucleotides) under uncultured bacterium. RNAcentral describes it as "partial 16S ribosomal RNA". It matches the Rfam family "Bacterial small subunit ribosomal RNA", at positions 562 to 791 of the family's 1533-position model. The record is from RNAcentral.
AAAGCGUGCGCAGGCGGUUUUGUAAGACUGUCGUGAAAUCCCCGGGCCUCAACCUGGGAAUGGCGAUGGUGACUGCAAGGCUAGUAGUUGGCAGAGGGGGUAGAAUUCCACGUGUAGCAGUGAAAUGCGUAGAUAUGUGGAGGAACACCGAUGGCGAAGGCAGCCCCCUGGGUCAAAACUGACGCUCAUGCACGAAAGCGUGGGGAGCAAACAGGAUUAGAUACCCCUGU